Molecule: ribosomal RNA, 490 nt
Filed under: uncultured bacterium
Lineage: Bacteria
Description: partial 16S ribosomal RNA
Rfam family: Bacterial small subunit ribosomal RNA
Source: RNAcentral
AUUGAACGCUGGCGGCAGGCCUAACACAUGCAAGUCGAACGGUAACAGGAAGCAGCUUGCUGCUUCGCUGACGAGUGGCGGACGGGUGAGUAAUGUCUGGGAAACUGCCUGAUGGAGGGGGAUAACUACUGGAAACGGUAGCUAAUACCGCAUAACGUCGCAAGACCAAAGAGGGGGACCUUAGGGCCUCUUGCCAUCGGAUGUGCCCAGAUGGGAUUAGCUAGUAGGUGGGGUAACGGCUCACCUAGGCGACGAUCCCUAGCUGGUCUGAGAGGAUGACCAGCCACACUGGAACUGAGACACGGUCCAGACUCCUACGGGAGGCAGCAGUGGGGAAUAUCGCACAAUGGGCGCAAGCCUGAUGCAGCCAUGCCGCGUGUAUGAAGAAGGCCUUCGGGUUGUAAAGUACUUUCAGCGGGGAGGAAGGGAGUAAAGUUAAUACCUUUGCUCAUUGACGUUACCCGCAGAAGAAGCGCCGGCUAACUCCGUG